GAUGAACGCUGGCGGCGUGCCUAAUACAUGCAAGUCGAGCGAACAGAUGAGGAGCUUGCUCCUCUGACGUUAGCGGCGGACGGGUGAGUAACACGUGGAUAACCUACCUAUAAGACUGGGAUAACUUCGGGAAACCGGAGCUAAUACCGGAUAAUAUAUUGAACCGCAUGGUUCAAUAGUGAAAGACGGUUUUGCUGUCACUUAUAGAUGGAUCCGCGCCGCAUUAGCUAGUUGGUAAGGUAACGGCUUACCAAGGCAACGAUGCGUAGCCGACCUGAGAGGGUGAUCGGCCACACUGGAACUGAGACACGGUCCAGACUCCUACGGGAGGUAGCAGUAGGGAAUCUUCCGCAAUGGGCGAAAGCCUGACGGAGCAACGCCGCGUGAGUGAUGAAGGUCUUCGGAUCGUAAAACUCUGUUAUUAGGGAAGAACAAAUGUGUAAGUAACUAUGCACGUCUUGACGGUACCUAAUCAGAAAGCCACGGCUAACUACG
This 495-nucleotide ribosomal RNA is filed under the name uncultured bacterium. RNAcentral's name for it is "partial 16S ribosomal RNA". It matches the Rfam family "Bacterial small subunit ribosomal RNA", at positions 28 to 505 of the family's 1533-position model. The record is from RNAcentral.